This 496-nucleotide ribosomal RNA is filed under the name uncultured bacterium. Its description in RNAcentral is "bacterial SSU rRNA". It matches the Rfam family "Bacterial small subunit ribosomal RNA", at positions 95 to 606 of the family's 1533-position model. The record is from RNAcentral.
GCGGCGGACGGGUGAGUAACGCGUGGGUAAUCUACCUCGUAGUUCGGGAUAACAGGCCGAAAGGCUUGCUAAUACCGGAUGAGUUCAUGCUUAUGCAUAUAGGCAUGAAGAAAGGGCUAGCCCGCUAUGAGAUGAGCCCGCGUCCCAUUAGCUUGUUGGAGGGGUAAUGGCCUACCAAGGCAACGAUGGGUAGCCGGCCUGAGAGGGUGUACGGCCACACUGGGACUGAGACACGGCCCAGACUCCUACGGGGGGCAGCAGUAGGGAAUUUUCGGCAAUGGGCGAAAGCCUGACCGAGCGACGCCGCGUGAGGGACGAAGGCCUUCGGGUUGUAAACCUCUGUCUGGGGGGAUGAGAACGGACGGUACCCCCGGAGGAAGCCCCGGCUAACUACGUGCCAGCAGCCGCGGUAAUACGUAGGGGGCUAGCGUUGUCCGGAAUUACUGGGCGUAAAGGGCGUGUAGGCGGUCGUGCAAGUCGGUUGUGAAAGUCUAGG